RNAcentral lists this ribosomal RNA (907 nucleotides) under Acinetobacter ursingii. RNAcentral describes it as "bacterial SSU rRNA". It matches the Rfam family "Bacterial small subunit ribosomal RNA", at positions 137 to 1038 of the family's 1533-position model. Lineage: Bacteria; Pseudomonadati; Pseudomonadota; Gammaproteobacteria; Moraxellales; Moraxellaceae. The record is from RNAcentral.
UGGGGGACAACAUUUCGAAAGGGAUGCUAAUACCGCAUACGUCCUACGGGAGAAAGCAGGGGAUCUUCGGACCUUGCGCUAAUAGAUGAGCCUAAGUCGGAUUAGCUAGUUGGUGGGGUAAAGGCCUACCAAGGCGACGAUCUGUAGCGGGUCUGAGAGGAUGAUCCGCCACACUGGGACUGAGACACGGCCCAGACUCCUACGGGAGGCAGCAGUGGGGAAUAUUGGACAAUGGGGGGAACCCUGAUCCAGCCAUGCCGCGUGUGUGAAGAAGGCCUUAUGGUUGUAAAGCACUUUAAGCGAGGAGGAGGGUACUGGUAUUAAUACUACCAGGUACUGGACGUUACUCGCAGAAUAAGCACCGGCUAACUCUGUGCCAGCAGCCGCGGUAAUACAGAGGGUGCGAGCGUUAAUCGGAUUUACUGGGCGUAAAGCGUGCGUAGGCGGCUAAUUGAGUCGGAUGUGAAAUCCCCGAGCUUAACUUGGGAAUUGCAUUCGAUACUGGUUAGCUAGAGUGUGGGAGAGGAUGGUAGAAUUCCAGGUGUAGCGGUGAAAUGCGUAGAGAUCUGGAGGAAUACCGAUGGCGAAGGCAGCCAUCUGGCCUAACACUGACGCUGAGGUACGAAAGCAUGGGGAGCAAACAGGAUUAGAUACCCUGGUAGUCCAUGCCGUAAACGAUGUCUACUAGCCGUUGGUCUCUUUGAGGGAUUAGUGGCGCAGCUAACGCGAUAAGUAGACCGCCUGGGGAGUACGGUCGCAAGACUAAAACUCAAAUGAAUUGACGGGGGCCCGCACAAGCGGUGGAGCAUGUGGUUUAAUUCGAUGCAACGCGAAGAACCUUACCUGGUCUUGACAUAGUAAGAACUUUCCAGAGAUGGAUUGGUGCCUUCGGGAACUUACAUACAGG